AAUCUCCAACAUCGUGAUCAACGACGAAGUGGGGGCUUCCAUAAACGCAGCCGUGGACAGCAUCCACCGCGCCAACGAGCUGGCUGCCCAAGGGAAACUGUUGGAGGCCUACCGCGAGUCGCUGCGAGCGCACGCAGCUGCUGAAAGCGCUUUUAUGGAGCCCAGUCUACUGGCGUUAUUGUACUUCCCUGAUGAUCAGAAAUACGCGAUCUACAUCCCGCUGUUCCUGCCGAUCAUGUUCCCGGUUGUGCUGUCUCUGAAGAACCUGCUGCUCUGGCUGCGCGGCAAGCCUUCGAAGAUCAAGACCGACUAGAGUGCAUGCUACUAAUUUAAUUAUAGAGUUGUGAAUACAUUUAUUUGUUAGGGAAUUUGUGUAUUUAUUUAUCCUUUAGAAUCAGGGGUACCGCAUUGACACUCAUGUCAAGAUCUUAUUUGACAGUGACGUUUACCUGUAGGCCUCGGAUGCGCACCACGAUAUCGGGACUAAUCUCACCUCUCGUUCCCACCGCUGCAACUCCUGUGUAGCCAGGAUCUACAGCUUGGCCGCCAAUAAACUUUUAUUGAUGCACUUUAUCGAUAUUUAGCCUAUACAUUUGUCAUCUAAUUGUCGAUUAGAUUUUAUCCAGGCACUCAUUCUUGCCCGGCUGGUGAGUGCAAAUACGGAAGUCAUUCUACCACUUCUAAUUGGCGCCACUAGCGCGCGACCAUACUCGACAGUGGCGCCAACUGGCGA
Long non-coding RNA from Ostrinia furnacalis (Asian corn borer), 733 nucleotides. RefSeq lists it as uncharacterized. The record is from RefSeq and is a predicted model, not a curated record. NCBI's taxonomy places the organism in Eukaryota, Metazoa, Arthropoda, Insecta, Lepidoptera, Crambidae. The transcript has 2 exons.